Molecule: ribosomal RNA, 618 nt
Filed under: uncultured bacterium
Lineage: Bacteria
Description: bacterial SSU rRNA
Rfam family: Bacterial small subunit ribosomal RNA (bases 1-532)
Source: RNAcentral
CCUACGGGAGGCAGCAGUAGGGAAUUUUCCGCAAUGGGCGAAAGCCUGACGGAGCAAUACCGCGUGAGGGAUGACUGCCUAUGGGUUGUAAACCUCUUUUUCAGGGAGGAAUAAAUGACGUGUACCUGAAGAAUAAGCAUCGGCUAACUCCGUGCCAGCAGCCGCGGUAAGACGGAGGAUGCAAGUGUUAUCCGGAAUCACUGGGCGUAAAGCGUCUGUAGGUGGCUCGACAAGUCAACUGUUAAAUCUUGAAGCUCAACUUCAAAAUCGCAGUCGAAACUAUCGGACUAGAGUAUAGUAGAGGUAAAGGGAAUUUCCAGUGGAGCGGUGAAAUGCGUAGAGAUUGGAAAGAACACCGAUGGCGAAGGCACUUUACUGGGCUAUUACUGACACUCAGAGACGAAAGCUAGGGUAGCAAAUGGGAUUAGAUACCCCAGUAGUCCUAGCCGUAAACAAUGGAUACUAGGUGUUGAAACGAGAUACGACCUCGUGCGAGUACCGAACGACUAACGUACGUUAAGUACGUACCGUCCGUCGGAGUAGUGCACGCGAGUAGUGAACGUACGAAGAAGUUAGACGGCGUGAGACGUGCCGACGGACGACGACGAGGGAGGUAGG